GAUGAAGAACGCAGCGAAAUGCGAUAAGUAAUGUGAAUUGCAGAAUUCAGUGAAUCAUCGAAUCUUUGAACGCACAUUGCGCCCGCCAGUAUUCUGGCGGGCAUGCCUGUCUGAGCGUCAUUUCAACCCUCGUGCCCCUAGGGCGUGGUGUUGGGGAUCGGCCAAAGCCCGCGAGGGACGGCCGGCCCCUAAAUCUAGUGGCGGACCCGUCGUGGCCUCCUCUGCGAAGUAGUGAUAUUCCGCAUCGGAGAGCGAUGAGCCCCUGCCGUUAAACCCCCAACUUUCCAAGGUUGACCUCAGAUCAGGUAGGAAUACCCGCUGAACUUAAGCAUAUCAAUAAGCGGAGGA
Molecule: unclassified non-coding RNA, 348 nt
Filed under: soil metagenome
Description: partial contains 5.8S ribosomal RNA, internal transcribed spacer 2, and large subunit ribosomal RNA
Rfam family: 5.8S ribosomal RNA (bases 1-120)
Source: RNAcentral